This 882-nucleotide ribosomal RNA is filed under the name Muriphaeosphaeria galatellae. Its description in RNAcentral is "eukaryotic LSU rRNA". It matches the Rfam family "Eukaryotic large subunit ribosomal RNA", at positions 32 to 934 of the family's 3401-position model. The record is from RNAcentral. Lineage: Eukaryota; Fungi; Ascomycota; Dothideomycetes; Pleosporales; Phaeosphaeriaceae.
UGCUAGCAUAUCAAUAAGCGGAGGAAAAGAAACCAACAGGGAUUGCCCUAGUAACGGCGAGUGAAGCGGCAACAGCUCAAAUUUGAAAUCUGGCUCUUUCAGAGUCCGAGUUGUAAUUUGCAGAGGGCGCUUUGGCGUUGGCAGCGGUCCAAGUUCUUUGGAACAGGACGUCACAGAGGGUGAGAAUCCCGUACGUGGUCGCUAUCCUUCGCCGUGUAAAGCCCCUUCGACGAGUCGAGUUGUUUGGGAAUGCAGCUCUAAAUGGGAGGUAAAUUUCUUCUAAAGCUAAAUACUGGCCAGAGACCGAUAGCGCACAAGUAGAGUGAUCGAAAGAUGAAAAGCACUUUGGAAAGAGAGUCAAAUAGCACGUGAAAUUGUUGAAAGGGAAGCGCUUGCAGCCAGACUUGCCUGUAGUUGCUUAUCUGGACUUUUGUCCAGUGCACUCUUCUGCGGGCAGGCCAGCAUCAGUUUGGGCGGUUGGAUAAAGGUCUCUGUCAUGUACCUCUCUUCGGGGAGGCCUUAUAGGGGAGACGACAUGCAACCAGCCUGGACUGAGGUCCGCGCAUCUGCUAGGAUGCUGGCGUAAUGGCUGUAAGCGGCCCGUCUUGAAACACGGACCAAGGAGUCUAACAUCUAUGCGAGUGUUUGGGUGUCAAGCCCAGACGCGUAAUGAAAGUGAACGGAGGUAGGAACCCUUUGGGUGCACUAUCGACCGAUCCUGAUGUCUUCGGAAGGAUUUGAGUAAGAGCAUGGCUGUUGGGACCCGAAAGAUGGUGAACUAUGCUUGAAUAGGGUGAAGCCAGAGGAAACUCUGGUGGAGGCUCGCAGCGGUUCUGACGUGCAAAUCGAUCGUCAAAUUUGGGCAUAGGGGCGAAAGACUAA